Molecule: ribosomal RNA, 252 nt
Filed under: uncultured bacterium
Lineage: Bacteria
Description: partial 16S ribosomal RNA
Rfam family: Bacterial small subunit ribosomal RNA
Source: RNAcentral
UACGUAGGGUGCAAGCGUUUAUCCGGAAUUAUUGGGCGUAAAGAGCUCGUAGGCGGUUUGUCACGUCUGCUGUGAAAACUGGAGGCUCAACCUCCAGCCUGCAGUGGGUACGGGCAGACUAGAGUGCGGUAGGGGAGAUUGGAAUUCCUGGUGUAGCGGUGGAAUGCGCAGAUAUCAGGAGGAACACCGAUGGCGAAGGCAGAUCUCUGGGCCGUAACUGACGCUGAGGAGCGAAAGCAUGGGGAGCGAACA